GGGGAGGAGUCUGCAAACUUUCAGUUCAAGGGCAUUGUGGGAAGUAGCCAUGGUCUGAGGCUGGCGCCUCACCUGUCAGCCGGCCUGGCUGCUAAGCUAUCUUCUGGCUGUCGCAUCCUUAGCGAUCGCCGCUGUCGCGACCCGGACGGCUGCGACCACCAUGAUACAUUUCAUCUUGCUCUUCAGUCGACAAGGGAAACUACGGCUGCAGAAAUGGUACACCACGCUCCCUGACAAAGAGAGGAAGAAGAUCACCAGAGAGAUUAUCCAGACCGUGCUCUCCCGUGGGCACAGGACAAGCAGCUUCAUCGACUGGAAAGAGCUCAAACUUGUGUAUAAAAGGUAUGCUAGUUUAUAUUUUUGCUGUGCAAUAGAAAAUCAAGACAAUGAGCUCUUGACACUAGAGAUUGUACAUCGUUAUGUGGAGUUACUGGACAAAUACUUUGGAAAUGUCUGUGAGCUGGAUAUUAUCUUUAAUUUUGAAAAGGCGUAUUUUAUCCUGGAUGAAUUUAUAAUAGGUGGAGAAAUUCAGGAAACAUCCAAGAAAACAGCAGUCAAAGCCAUUGAAGACUCUGAUAUGUUACAGGAGGUCAAGAGUCAAGAGGAUUUCAAGAAUUGUAAAGUACCUAUUUAAAAUUGGUACUAAAGCCAUUCUUCCUGCUAUUUGGAAAUAAGAGACUGAUUAAGUUAAUAAGACAUUAGGCAUGAUUUCCCAGCAACUGUCUUGGCAGUACUUUGAGCUGAUUUCUUACUUCUGCCCAUGGAGGGACUCCAUCCUCAGACAAUGGAAGAAUACAUGAACAAGCCCACAUUUUAAGUGUGCAGUCUACUUGAAGAUUCUGAGUGCUUCGUGUUGUGAAUCUACAAAUAAGCAACUCUUUGCUUCCAGUCUCCACACAGCUUCUGGCACCAUGCCAAAAAAAUGUAAAGGGAUCCCAUGUUAGCUAGCAAAACU
Phodopus roborovskii (desert hamster) is the source of this 955-nucleotide RNA transcript. It is a transcript of the gene named adaptor related protein complex 1 subunit sigma 3, with no coding region annotated. NCBI's taxonomy places the organism in Eukaryota, Metazoa, Chordata, Mammalia, Rodentia, Cricetidae. The transcript is spliced from 6 exons. The record is from RefSeq and is a predicted model, not a curated record.